This 36135-nucleotide long non-coding RNA is filed under the name Gossypium barbadense (sea-island cotton). RNAcentral's name for it is "long non-coding RNA (GBAR_LNC014659)". The stretch from base 11747 to 11894 matches the Rfam family "MIR7502 microRNA precursor family". Lineage: Eukaryota; Viridiplantae; Streptophyta; Magnoliopsida; Malvales; Malvaceae. The record is from RNAcentral.
UAGUUUUUGUCUUAGGCCUGCAAACUCUGAAUUGGAUAAUACAAUAAUAAUAAUAAUAAAAUACACGUUUUAAAAUUAAAUAUUUGCACACACGAUCACAAUUUAUUUCCCUUCAUAACCCCAAUUUUUGCAUGGCCCUCUUAUAGCAUAUACAUAUAGCUACUAUGGUACAAAGGGAGGCAUAUACAUCAAAGUAUAUAUGACACAUGAAACAUAUUGGUAUAUCAAAUAUUCUGGACAGUUCAGUUGGAUAUGGAACAAUGGGAACUCUUGAUAGUACUUCAUAUACCUGCCAUGCAUUCCGGUGGGGUGACCGGGUACCGAGACUUGUCGGUGCAGUAAUCGUAGAUCAUGUGGUUCAUCCGAACCCACCUGUAUCUCCUAGCUUCCAUGGCAUUAAGAGCUUGAUAAGCAGUACCUUCCCACCAGUUCCUAGGGUUACUAGCACAAUUUGCUGGCCCUGGAACUGGACACCCUUCAAUGUCAAAAUCCUUGUAAUAAGCCAAAAAUGGUGCUUUGCUCCAAUCAAUUUUCUCAAGUCCUCCCCUUGUUGCCCAAUCAUCAGCUUCCCAUAGUGUUGAAUAUACCCCCAUAGGUUGAAAUUUUGGGUAUGGGAUGUUUUUUGCUUCAUUGUUCUUGUAUACUCUUAUUGGCACUUCAUCUACAUAAAACCUGUUAAGAAAAAGCACCCAAAUGGUCAAAUUUUAAUGUCAUAUAUGCUUAUUAAUGUCAUAUUUAUAGUUAGAUACUGGACUUACACAAUAUGAUGAUGGUUCCAAAUAAUUGUGUAUGUAUGGAAAUCAGCAGCUGGAUCAAACCAGAGGUUAACCCUUUGUUCUUUAUCACCUUUACCAUGAGCAUAUAUGUUGGUUUGGACCGUGUAUGGUUGCCCGGUUCGGUUUCCCAAGAACUCGAAAUCUAGCUCGUCUCUUACGGUGUCCGUAUCAGAAUUCAUCUGCAAUACCAGAUUACAAUGAAAAACAGAUUAAAGGUUAAAGGUUAUGUCGGUAGGUAGCUUUACGUACGUAAAAGGCGGUGACGGUUCCGGCCGAGUCACCGGGGAUAAGCUUGAUCUUCAUGCUGACACGUCCAAACAAAUACCGUCUUUUGGAAGCAAAUCCACAGCCUAUAAAACAAAAUGAAUUAACAACACAUUAUCGAAGGGUUAACACAUUUAAUCAUUGAUUAUUAUUUUUAAAAAGUUAAACCUGAAUUUUGGUCUAGAAUAAGUUGAAUGGCCCUCCCCCCAUCGAUUUGCUUGAUAUGGGAAUCGGACCAAGUGAUUCUAAAAUCUUCGAGGAAAGUGGCGGGUCGUCCCGAAACCGAGAUCGAACAUGCAAGGAAACAAGAGAAGAUGAAAAGAAAAGCACUGCUUAGAGUUGCCAUUGUCAUCAAUGUUUUGAACUUAGAAGAUUAAAUUGUGGUGAAUAUGUGUAUAUGUGUAUGUAUAUAUAUAUAUAGGUGGGAGAGAUUAAGGUUGAUGUAGACCGCUGCAUUGAAAUAGAAAGUGCCAUUCUUAAGUUUAGCUUUCGAUACAGCUAAUGGCAAGCCGUCUUUAGGCCCUACAUACCCCCCAACUGUGCUCUAAUUUUGCCCUUUGGGAACCUAAUCUUAAUGCUUCCACUUCAUAACUCUCUUUGUUUUUGUUUUCAUUCUCCAACCUAACAAGAAAAAGGGAUCACAGAUAUUGAAAUUUUACAAUUGAAUUGAUCGUAUAUAUAUUGUUUGUCAUGUUCCAUCAUCACAUGAAAAUUUGAUUAAUUUUAUAUAUGGGUGGAUAAUUUUCCAUCUCUUGAAAUUGAUAUGGUAUGAAGGUGGUGUAGAAAAGGAUUGAAGACCAAUGAGGUGUGCCUAAAAAUUUGGGUCAAAUAGGGUUUGGACUUAAGUUCACAAAGGCAGUCUCAUUCAAUAUUGCUUAUCUAAUUUAUCUGUGAACAGCUUAGACUGAUAUUGAACGGCCGGUUGGCCGGAUCCACCGAGUUACAUGCCCCACCAUUAAGUUUUUUGGGGUCUAUUAAUCUUAAACUCUGGUCAAUUCCAUAAGCCUGAAAACCAAUCAGUAUAUCAAUUUAGAUAAAAGGGUUAGAUCGAUUUUAGAGCGAAGCACUUAAAAUUAAAUUUAAACCGUAAACCGGUUGAACUGUUUUUUAACGUUUUUAGUCCAAAUUAAUGGUCCAAAUCGAAAAAAAAUCUCAACUGGUAAAAUCCAAAUACAUAAAUAUAUCAACCCAACCCACUCGAAUACUUAAAAAAAUUAUUAUUAUUAAGAAAAAAAAGAGAGAGGAGAAAAAUCAAUAUAAAUCGAAGUGUCAUUAUUGUUAUUUAUUUGUGUUUAUACAAUUUUGUUUUUAAUUUUGUCAAAUUUUUACUUAUUUUCCAAAUUUUCUUUAAUUUUGGACCAAUCGAACUAAAAUUUGGUGAUCUGAUUAGUUCGAUCACCAAUCCAAUUCCGAAAACAUUGGGGGUAGGGGUUUCAUAUUGAUAUAGUAGACAUCGAUAAAAAUAAGAAAAAUAAGAACACAUGAAUUUCUUCAACAAGUGACGGGAUUCGGGUCACACAAUCUCUAACACAUAUUAACAUGGCUAGCUCUUCUAGAAAAGCUUUUAAAUGUUAAUCGAAAAGUUUCCCAACUCGAAUAAAAAAAUCUUAAAUCAAAAAUGACUCAAAAAUGACAUAAAUAAAUAACUUGAAAUAACUUAACUCAAAAAUUCACUAACAAACCCGAAUAACUUCAUCUUACAAAUCAUCCAAACCCAAAUUAAUAUCAAACCUAAAACCACUCAAAAGUCAUGUUGAAAAUUGGAUCAAAUUCCAUUCCCAUCUUUUUCUACCACUUGACAAUUGUUGUGACAAGGAAUAAUUUCAAACAAAAGUAUUAUCCUAUUUUACAUCAAUUGAAGGGAAUUUAAAGUUAAAACACAGAUAGUGAAAGACUGAGAUAUCUGAAAAUUAUAAGACAGAAAGGGAUCAUUUCUUUCACCAUUUGCAUAAUUGACGUACAAAGAUCCUUGGGAUUAAAGUUCAACCAAUGUUGGCUGCAAACCUCAAUUAUUUUAAAACUUUGACCUCAAAGUCAAUAUAAAAAAAUAAUUCUAAAAAUAUGUAGUCCUUAAAUGAUUAAAUAUGCAAAUUUCCUUGUCCAAAUAAAAUUUUUAAUUUCUCCUCACAAAUUAUGAUUAAUUUAUAAUAAAAAAUAAAAACUGAGGAUCAUGAUUUCCUCUCUCAACUAUAUAUCUCCAGGAUCCAAAUUUAAGUUCUUUUCAUAAGAGCAAAUACGGUUUACCACUGCACUCAACAUUUUUUUUUAAAAAAUUAUGUAUAGGAGGAGGCAAAUUCUCUUAUAUCCUGUAUGUUAGUAUUGAGUUGCGGAUUUGUUGUGUUUUGAGUUGCAGCUAAUGAUAUAAUUGAAAUUGAAAAAGAAAAUGGUUAAAAUAUGUCAUAGGUUCCUGUGCUUUUUAAUUUCAGGAAUUUAGUUUCUCUGCUUUCUAGAUUUCAAAAUUCAAGUCAAAUUAUUAAUUGUGUUAAUUUUUUGGGGUUGAAUUUGUUGGUGUGACAUUUUAAAAUAAGAAAAAAAAACUUACUUGGUAGUAAUGUAACUAAAAUAAUAGCGUUGUAAUGAACCUGAAUUUAAUAAAAUAAUAUUAAUAGUGCUAACAGUUGGACCUAAUUUUACAUCUAAAAAGUAGGGGGAUUAAAUUCCAAAUUUUUGAAGAGUUUAGAGACUUAUAAUAUAUUUUAUCCAAAAAUUAGUUGUAGAAAUAAUUCAACAAUACAAGAGACGAUUUAAGCUCAACUUACUCAACUUGUUGUUGCCUACAUGCAUAUAUAUAUUUGGGGUUAAAUCACUUUUUAGGAUCAAAACAUGGUAACAUUUUUUAUAUUGGGGUUUGAAUUUUUUUUCAAGUUAAGUCAUGAACUUAGCAAUUAUUCUUCCAUUGGGAACUAAAUUUUUUUUAUUCAAGAUAGAUCCUGAAUUAACAAUUUUUCCAAUAUUAGGGUUGAAUUUUUUUUUCCAAAUUAGUCUUUAAAAACCCUAAAAGUUCAGGUCAAGCCUCGAUGUGAGAAUAAUUAUCAAGUUCUUGGACUAACUUGAAAAAAAUUCAAGCCCCAAUGUGAGAACAAUUGCCUAGUCUAGACCCCAAUGUGAGAACAGUUGUCAAGUUCAAAGUCUAACUUGAACCAAAAAAAAAUUUAUACUCCAGUGUAAAAAAAGUUACCAAGUUCAAAUCCCAAAUAAUGAUUUAACACUAUAUUCUAUAUUGAUAAAACAUAAAAAAAAAUCUUAAUUAAAUUAUAAAUAAAAUUAAUCAUGUAAUUAACUCUCAACAUUUAGGGUGCGUUUGGUUCGCUGUAUUGGAUUAGAGGUGUAUUGGAUUAAAGGUGUAAUAGCAAAUCAACUGUUUGGUUGAAUGUAAUGGAAUAGAGGCGUAAUAGUAAUCUUGUGUUUGGUUGAAUGGAAUAGAGGUGUAAUAGUAAUCUUGUGUUUGGUUGAAUGUAAUGUUAAGAUCCGCAAUUAAUUAUUUUUCCCUAAUGAUGAGAAACUAAUUUAACUUUUAUAUUUGAACUAAUAUACCAAUUAAUUUUUUGUUCAUUCAAUGGCAAAUAUUUUAUGGGGCAUGCAUGGUAUGGCAUAUAAGUGAUUGCUGGGAUAAGCUAAUAAAUGCGUUCUCCAUUGGCAUUGAAUUUUGCCACCAUAACAAUAUUUGGGGUAAAUUUCAAAAAUAGUCCCAUAUCUUUGUUUAAGUUUAAUUUUGGUCACCGAUGUUUCAAUUGUUACGUUUUGUAGUUCACUUUUAUAUUCGGACCAAUAUACUCUUUCCCGUCUUCCUUUUCUUUUCUUCUAACCAAACCCUAGUCGCUGCUCACCGCCAUCGAUGGUCCUCCGGCCGAUAGUGCCACCAUAACUCCUCUCCUCUCCGUUCACUGAUUCAGAUUUCUUCUAGACCAAACAAAAGGACAAAAUCCCAAGUUGAAGCUUAAACCUUUUCCAACCGUCAGAUCGGCCGAAUCCCAGGAUAUGUGCCUCUCCUCCGUCCAACGAGGCUUUUCACCAUUGGAUUUGCGAGCAAAUAACUAGAGCCCCGAGAAUUCAACAACCCGAAAUGGGUUUUCUCUUCCCCUUUUGAUUUCCAUUUGCUCUCUUUUUCUUGAUUUUGUAUUCUCUUUUUUUCAUUUCUCUAAUCUCUCUCCGCAAGUUCUCUCUUUUUGAGCUGUUAUUCCUUCUUUUCCGUGACAUGGAAGCCAUGUUAGCAUUUAGUGGUACAGAUUUUUAUUAACACUAUUAACGGCCAUUAACCGACCAGUAAUCAAAUUGAUAAUAAUUUAUGAUCAAAUCAUAACAAUGACCCAAAUAUGGGAUUAUUUUUGAAAUUUCUAUAACACUAUUAAUGCCCAUGGUGGUAAUUUAUUAUUAUAUUAAUUAAAAUUAUAUAUAAUUGAUAGAAAACAUUAAUUUUUGUAAUUAAUUAUCUUCGAUUACUCAUUUUAAGAGAUUAAUCUGCUUCAUAUUAAAAUUGAGAGAGAUUGAAGAGAUAUUUUUACCUAAAAAUUUUUAGUAUAAGCCUCUACCACUUUCCUAGCCAAUCAAGUCCUUAUCAUAUGGUUUGAUUGUCAAACUCAAAAUUAAAGUCAGUCUUUAUUAAAUCAAAUAAUUGCCAAGUGUAUAGCUUUUGCCGGUUCAAUCUUAAUAAUGUAAUCCAUCUAAUAAUAUAUAUUUGUUAAUGGGUCGGCCGGAUCAACUUGUAUGUUUAUCCAAAUUUGCUUAGUCUGAAAUAUAAAUUUAAAAUUUUAUCUAAAUCUAUCUAUAUUUAUAAAUAUUUGGUCUAAAUUCAUUUUAAAUCCGCUCAUAUUAUCUUUAAUUUAUUAUUUAAUAAUUCAAUUUUUUAUUUAUAAAAAUUUUAUAUAUAGACAUCUAAUAUUUUUAAUGUUUAUAUAAUACAUAUUAAAAAUUACAAAGGGUCUAGGCCAAGUCGGACUUCAAAUGUUCAAACUCAAAUUCGACUCAUAUUUUAAACGAGCUUAAUUUUUGUUUAAGCUCAAUUUUACGAGUUUAACCUUUUUAAAUAUUAGACAAAACAUUGAAUUUAAACGAAUAAUCCGAUCUAUGAAUAGCUCUAGAUUAACCCAAGACUCAAUUAUUUGAAAAACAUAAAAAGGGCCUAGGUGGACAAAAAGGUUUAAUGUAUUUUGUUUUUAGCCGGUAAAUUGAGAAUGCUGGAAUUGACAAAGCAACAAUAAAUAAGAAGCAUCUUUAAUUAGAGGCUGGCAAGCCAAUGGCUCUUCAAUUCCUAUUUUUUCAUUAUCUUAUAUUAAUAAUUAAUUUGGAUUAUUUAUUUAUUUUUCUUGAUAAUGAUUAAACAUAAAAGUUUUAGUGUCAUAAAUAGAAAUCGGAGUAAAUAUAGAGUUGUUCAUAAGACAGGUGGCCCACUUAGCUCGUGUAGUAUGAUCCAAUCUGAAUUUAAAUUAAAUUCUUUUUAAUUUUUAUAUAAAUAUCAAUAUCAAAUAAUAUAUUUUAAUAUUUUACUAAUUUUUUAAAUGGUGAUAUGGAAAAUUUUUAAAAAAUUUGAUAAUUAUAUAUUUCUUUCACUACUAUUAUAUAUAUUUUUAUUAAAUUUUCAAAUAUAAAUAACUUACCUUUUUUAAAAUAUAUACAUUAUGAUAUAACAUAUUUAAUUUUCAUAUGAUAUAAGUACAUAAUGAUUAAUAAAAGGAAAAGUUACAUAUCAUAAGCUUGAAAACAUACCGGAGUUGAUAUUUGAAUAUUGGAGUUCGAAUUAGACUUAUAUUUUAAAUGAACCUAAUUUUUUUACAUAAACUCACUCCUAGCAUGACGAUUGUUUUUUUUUUUUUCGAAUCCUCCCAAUUAUUGAGAAGGAAUUUGAGUUAGGGUAGGUAUAUUGACCAUUGAACAAGUCCAAUCAUAGUUAAUAUUUUGAAAUUAUGAUUCAGAUUUUUUAUUGGUCGCUAAAUUUUAAAACUUUCUAACUAAACUAGUAUAAGUAUCGUAUCAAUCAAGUCUUUUCGAAAGUUUAGUCAUUAGCUUGAGGAUAAACGUUGGCUCAAACAUAACAUUGAGCCUAUUUUAAAUAUAUGGAUCAAAUUAUAAUAUGUGUAUCGAAUUUGACGUGUUAAGAAAUGAAUCUCUUAAAUUUAAUUGACGUUGUUACUUGGGAUAAACAACACUCAAGAUUAAUAAAUUAAUAAAUUAAUGUUUUAAUCAUUUAACUUUAAAAAAUUACUAAAUAAUUAUUGAAGGGGCAAAAUAUCAAAAAAAAUCCUAUUUUUUAAAAUUUACCGAAAUGGGCCCGGUAUUUUAUUAUUUACCGGAAUGGGCCAUUUUCCCCAAAAUCGCGUCCACAUCAGCGCGAUGUCAGAUGACGUGUCAGAACAUCGCAUCCACGUCAACGCGCUUUGCUUGCGUGGACACAAAUCGCGCCUACGAGGACGCGAUUUGCUGACGUGGAUGAACAGUUUAUGUUUUUUAGCUUGGAAAACUUUGAAAGGCCAUAACUUUUGGCUCGGUUGUCCGAUUGAGAUGAUUUUUUUUUAUUUCGAAUAACUUUUCGAGAUCUAUGCUCUGGCAAACUGCUAGUUUGCCGCAGUUUUCGUCGAAAAAGAUCAUUUUUUGCCCCUGAAUUUCAAUUUUUCAGUUUAAAAUUAAAUUUUGAAACAUUCAAAUCAUUAUUUUCCUUAUUUAUUUGAAGUAAACACCGGAUUUUUUUUUUACAAAACUGUUGUAUUAUUUUUUCUGAUUUGACACGUGUAUGGAAUAGGUCCGAUAAAUCGUUAGAACGUAAGUAAUAUAAUUAAGAUAAUAACAGUAUUUUUAUAAUAUGUUAAUUAAUUAGUUUAGCUUAGUUGGUUAAAAUGCUUGCUCUUUUCCCUUAGUACCUAGGUUCAAAUCUUGUUGGUAACAAUUUUAAAUCUUUUUUGUACUUGUUGCUGACAAUUUUAAAUCUUUUUUGUACUUGUUGCUAUUGAUGUAAUAUUGAAGAGUUAAUUGAUUAAAAAAUAAAUACAAAUACAAAAAGAUUCAAAAUUUAUUUUUUCGAAAUACCAAAAAAGCCCUAUAUUUUUAAAAUUUAUCGAAAUGGGCCCAGUAUUUUAUUUUUUUGACCAUUGGGUAUUGUUCACGCGCGGGCCGAAAUCGCGUCCAUGUCAGCAUCUCACGCUGACGUGGACGCGAUUUCCUGACGCAUACCCUGACAUCGCGUUGACGUGGAUGCAAUUUUCCGGAAAAAGUACCAUUUCGGUAAAUAAUUAAAAAAUGGGCCCAUUUCGAUAAUUUUUAAAAAAAAAGCUUUUAUUAGUAAAUUGCUCAUUACUGAACUGCUUAAAAAUUUUCAUUUAAAUUACUGAAAAGGUUUUAAAUAUAUAAUUUUACAAUUUUUUUUUGUUUUAUUAAAUAAAUGACCGACAAUACUAUAAGAAAUUAAUGAUAUUUAUUGAGACUAGUUCUAUGCACAUCCCCCGAGGGGGAAUAAAACAAUAAAGAAAAUUUUGGGUGAAAAUUCAAAAUAAUGAAAAAUUAAAAUUACUUAACUAAUAAUUUUUACUAUUUAUCCUUAUCGAUUUAUUUAUUGCAAUGUACUCUAAUUUAUAUGAUUUUUGGUUCUUGUAUUUUUUAUGUUCUUAAAUUAAUUAAGUUAAAUUUGUUAUUUCUAAAAUUUUACAUGGCAAACAUGUUUUUUUUUUCCACAUAAUCCUUGCAAAAAAAAGUCAAUCACUUUAGUUAAUUGAUAAAAUAGUUACGGUUUGAAUCGUGACUAAAAUAUCAAAAUUUAAAAGUUAAGUAUUAAAAAUGAUGAAAUUGGAGAACAUGGUCUAAAUCCAUAAUUUAGGCAUAGUACAAGAUUAAUAGCAUAAUUUGAUUUAACAUAUUUAACUGUCGUUUGGGUUGAGAUUAAAAUUUCAAAUUUUAAAAAGUACAAAAAUUAAAAUUGACCAAAUUAAAGCAUAAGAACUAAAUUAAUAAAUUAUACAUGAUAUAGGGAGUAGGGACCAAUAACAAAAUUUGACCUUAUAAAUGAAUAAAAAGUGCUAAUGGUUUUAAAAACUUACUGUGAUAAAAAAAAUGCAUGAGAGAGAAGUUAAAAUUAGGAAAGUUUUCUAGUCUCAUCAUUAGCUAUUGCUAUGUGUUGGUUUUAUGUGUUGAGUUUAAGACUAUGAAGAUAAAUAUUAAUGCUAAAAUAAUCUCAUAAAAAGACUUUACAAAUAUAAUCGUAAAGUUCAAAAUAAAACAAAAAUCUACAAGAUAUAUCUUCAAGUCAAUCUUCAUAAAUCAAGGGAUCCAAUUUAUUUGACCUAGAUCAGUCCAAACUUCAAGGAUUUGUAGCUUCACAAAAUAGAUCUUCAAAUAUGGGUCAACACAUGUUCAUAAUAUUCACUAAGUCAUGACCCAACUGUUUUGGUUUAAAGAUCCGUCGACAUUAAUAAGCCAAGUUAUGUAACUUGUGCAGAGCCAAAAGCAAUGAACACCGACUGUGGCACUACAUGAGACAUUGCUCACAUAUUGCCUCAACAAUCUCUUCCAACAAGAAUUCUAUAUUUAGAAUAUGAAUCCAUCUUUAUAAAGUACCAUUUAAUCCAUCUAAAUCUGUCCAAAUUUUAUCAAAUCAAUUACCCUUAAUAUAAGAUUACAAAUGAUUGAGGUAAAUCUUCAUAAAAUCAACUCGUGUCUUCUUAGAUUUACAUAUCCAAAUAUAUAAGAUAACUUAAUUUGGACACGAGCAAUAUUACUACUUUAAAAACUUACCUCAACCCAAACACUUGUAUAAACUUAUUUUGUAUGAGAAAUUAUAGAGAAGGUUAAUUAAAUUUUAAUGUAAUUGCUGCAAAAUUUUCAAUUAUUUCAAUGGGAUAAUGAUAAGAAUAUUAUAUGAGAUUUGAGACCCUACAUUAUUGUGAAAUAUCAAAUCAGACCUACAUGACAUUUUUUUUCUUCAUAUAAAUCAAAUUUAAUUUAUAGAAAGUUCUAUUUUGCAUAUUUUAGCUGGAUCACACAUAAAAAAGUACUUUUAAUUCAUUGAAUUUUUUGAAGGGAAAAUCAAAUCAGGUAUAAUUUAAUAUUUCAACAAGCACAAAUAAUUGAUCUUUUGUGUGGUUUUAGAUAAAAAGAAAUAAAUUUUAAAUAAAUUGCUUAGAACCAAUUGAAUAGGAUAAAAAAAUUGAUUAAAUUAAUGGUUGAAUUGAAUUUAUACUUUAAUAAUUAUUUUUUAAAUUUUAAAAUUAUUAAUAAUUUAUUUAACUAAAAUUGAACUGAUAAUCAAUUUGAUCAAACCGGAAAUCGAUUAUCUGAUGAAUUUAAUCACCAAUCCAAUUCUUAAUGCAUGUUUUUGACUUGGACAGAAAUUUUUCUUUUUAAAUUUAAUAUUGGAAAAUGAUUUUUCUAUGUAUUUUUCUUUUUAUAAUGUUUUUGGCUUAAAUACUCAUUUAGCUUUGGAAUUUAUCAUUUUCUCCCAAUUUGGUAUUUAUGGUAUUUUUGUUCCAAUAUUAAAUAUCAAAACCUUUGAUGGAAUGAAAAUCGAGAUACCAACUUGAAAUAGAAAACCAUAAAUACCAACUUAAGAGAAUAUGAUAAAUUCGAGGGUUAAAUGAAUAUUUAAACCAACAUUCACUGAUUCAAGUAUAAACAACUACCCUAUCACAAAUUGAUAGAUUUCAUCCUUCGUUAUAAAACAAAGUUGCUGUGAUAAUUUUAUUUUCAAAAUGAAAUAUAAAAUAAUUAUUAAAUAAACUAAUUAAAAAUAUCAGAAAAUAACAAUUUCCUUUCGGUACUAUCACAGUAUCACUAUAAAUAUAUAUACUCGUAUAUAUAAAAAAAACUAAUAAUUUUCUUUUAAUUAACCAUAUGAAAUCAAUAAUUAAUUAUUACAUUUUUAGAAAUAAUAAUUUAAUUAAAAUUGACAAAUAAUAUCAAUAAAUUAAAGCUUCUAAGAAUAAAAAAAUGAAUGUUAUUAAAAUAAUUAUGAAAAUCUAAUUAAAAAGCUAGCUGCCUCAAAGCUCAUUUAAUGCAUGCAUGGCAAUUGCAGGGUCAGGUAUGCACACGCCCUGAAAAAGAUUGCUCAAACAUUUUCUUACAUACAGAGACUUUUUUGCCUAAAAUUAUACCCUCAAUCAUUUAACAUCUCCUUUUCUUAUCUGCUAAAUUCGAUUUAAUAAAAAUAAUUAAAAAUUUUGAAUGACAAAAAUAUGAACUUUUAAAACCUAAAUGAUUAUUGGAAAAAAAAUAAUUAACAGAGAAAUUUAUAUUUUAAUAUAAUGAUAAAAUUGUACUUUAAUUCCUCUAGUAAUUCAUAAUUCAUAUCUAACUUUCUUUAAAAUAAUUUUCUAACUUCGUCCAUGCUUCAGCAUAUACAGGGGCAAAAUCACCUUUAAUCCUUUUAUAAUUUUAAAAAAUUUAAAUUAGCAUAUGGUAAAAUUACACUUUACCUCUCAAGAAUGAGAACAAAAUUAGUAUAUAAACUAUUAAGAUGAUAAAAUUUUACUUUUACUAUUAUAAAAAUAUACAAUUUUAUUUCGACCCCUCAAUUUCUCUGAAUUUUGAUUGAUUUCCACUAGUUGCCACUAAAUUGUACUAAUGUAGAGUUGAAUUUUAUUCCAAAAAAGCUACUAAUGGUAUCAAUUCAAUACAAUAUAUAUAUAUAAAGUUCAAUGAUUUCGAUAUACCGUUUGCACAAUCAACACGUUUGGUCUAAAUAAUUAUGAAAAAGUUGUAAACUCAUCAUUGAAUACAAGUAUCAUGAACAUUAAAAUAUUUAUCUAUUUCUAUUAUUAAAAACUGACAUGAUUAAUAAUAAAAUAACAAAAUAGUUACAAGUGUCACGCCACGUGUACCUCACUCUAAUGUACAUUAACCAGUUUUUAACAAUAGAAAUGGAUGCAAAUUUUAACAGAAAGACUAGUCUGCUGUUUGAUUUAAUGCAUAAAGACUAACUUACCCAAUUUUAAUAGAAGGGACAAAAUAAAAUCUGACUCUCAGUACAAACAAGACUCCUGGUACUUUUACCUAUUGAGAAACAAUGGAAUUGAAAAAGAAAGUUGGAAGUUCAAAUUCAAUGGGAUAGAAACCUUGAAAGGACAGUGGAUAGUUCUCUUUGAUCUAUAUAACAAGUGAUAUAACAAAACAGUAAUUUAAUUUGAUUAUUAUAAAACCCUGGAAAGAAUCUUACAGUACAAUAAAUAGUUGUUCAAGAAUAUCAACUUGCAAUUCUACUGAGUUGAGGAACUAGCUCCUUAUCUGUAGAGUUUUUCAAAUGUUUGAUGAUUUCGUCGACAUACGGAGCUUCUAAGCAAAUCCUUCUUCUAAGCAUUAACCUAGCAAGCUUCACAGCUUCAACUGAAUGGCUUUGCCGACACAAGCCAACCAAAAGAAUAGAAAAGAUGUCAGUGUCGAUGGAUGAAAUGUAUUGCAUCCGCUCGAUUUCAUUGUAUAAGCAAAAACCAUCUAGCACUCGUCCCUCAUGACAGAUCUCCCUAAUCAUGGUACUACAAGCAAUGCCACUAGGUUUAGCCCCACUUACUAACAUUUUCCUAAAGAGCUUCUCUGCCUCAUUGAGUCUAUUAAUCCUAAUCAAAGCCAAUACAAGAGAACUGUAGCAAUCACUAUUGGAAACACCACGUCCGGCAACUCUAUCGAUCAACUUAUAUGCUUCUUCGACAUGUCCCUCGGUGCAAAGACCCGUGAUCAAAGUAAUAACAGUUAUACGGUUAGGAACACACUGGCAAGCUUCCAUUCUAUCCAAAAUCCUCAAUGCCUCUAUUGUUUGACCCUUCUCACAAAAGCUUUUAAUCACAGAUGUAUAUGUGAUUACAUUUGGACUACAAUUCCCACCUGCUUUCUCCAUCUCCCCUAAUAAUUCCAAUGCCUUUUCCGUACUCCUGUACUUACAAAUACCCUCGAGAAGCACGGAAUAAGUCACAGCAUUUGGAGAAAACCCUUGCCCCUUCAUAGCCUGAAACAACUCACAAGCCUCCUCCAAUCUACCAGCAUUACAGAACCCCUUGAUCAUUGCAAAAUAAGUCAUCAUAUCGGGAUAAAGAUCAAUCAAGCCAAUCUCUUUCAUCAAUUUAUGAGCCAUAUCCAUAUCCCCUUUCUCGCAAAGCAGCCUGAUAACCACAUUAUAAGCAGUAGUAUCCGGACGUAAAUUAAAUUCAGGCAUUUUCCUCAAUAGCAACAAAGCUUCAUCGGCAAUAUUAGCUUCUUUACACAAAUUCAAAACAACCUUAAACAUUUUAAGGUUAACUGAACACUUUUCCAUCCUGUAAGCUUUGAUAACAUCCAAAACAAGAAAUGGGUUUUGCUUAAUUUUCAAAAAUCCAGCAGCUUUGUUGUACAUAUAAGAACUAUACCUACAAUUUGAUUGAAGACCUGCCCAUAUGAAAAACCUUAAACCUAUUUGAGAUAGAGAUAUAUCAAAAGAACAUCUUUUUAACACCUCACAAACACAGUUUGGGUCCAAUUUGGCAUUGACUAAAGCUAAGGUUUUCUCUAUAUUGCUUUGGUUUUUCUCUAAAAGAGUGAAAAAUUUGUCGGCAGAGGAGGCCGAUCUGAAUUGAAGAUUGAAAAUUUUGCUUUGUUUAGUGUGAAUUGAAAGUGAAAUCAAUCUAGAGAGUGAAGCAAUUGGCAUUGCUUUGUGGGGGAAUUUAGUGUCUUUGCAAGAGUUGAGGUUGAACAAAACAAUGAGGUAAAAUCUUACGAGAUUGUUUCCGAAUGAAGUUGGAUAAGUUUUGGCAAGAAUGAGGCCAGGUGUACCAAGUUGUUCGAAUGUGGCCCAGUACGGUGGCAUCAACUCAUAGCCAGGCAACCAUAACCUCAUAUAUGGCCCUGCAUUAUAACGAUAGAGCAUUAAGGUAACUCACAAUUACGUAUGAUUUUCAUUUUAUUAAAAACAUAACAGUAUCAAGCAUAUAUCCGUAUUUGAUGUUCAAAUAUGAGUCCGGUGUGUAAAAGCGGAAACACGACAUUUCCUAAAAAUAUUACCAUAUUAGCACAAGUCAGUGAUGGCUAAGCUUCUAUUACAUUGAAAGAUUGUUAAAUCGAAACCUGCAGUUUUAACACAUUAACUUCAUCAAAGUGGAAAAGCAAAACCGAAUUUUAUAAAAAUUAUAAUCGGAAACGAAAUUCACUUUGACGGAAACCGGAAUAACAACUGAGUUUAGUCGGUCGGUCCCGUCGGUUAAUCAUACCGAAAAAAUAUCAUGAAAAAAGCUGUUUUUUUUUUAAUUUACACAAACCAUAAUGAAAGUAAAUUUGUAGUAAAUAAUUGAAUUUCCCAUAAUUGAUCGCAACAAAAAACUCAAUUUACAACCAUAAUUAAUUGGAAAGCUAAUCGAAAGUCAUAAGCUACCUGUUUCAUCUGGCUACUACUUCAAAGGACUACCAUAGAAUUUCGAAAUGGGCCAAAACUAAUUUUAGGGUAAAAGAAAAGUAGGCGAUGAGCAAGACGACAAAGUUGAACAUCAAUAGAUUAAAUAGUUUUAAAAUAAAGAUUGAACAGCUAUAUACAGUAGAUUAAAUGUGGCAAAAGCCAAAAAUAACUUACAGUGGCCGGUGACGAGGCGUUUUCCGAUGAGCAAGGCGGCAACCGAGGUCAGAGAAAGGUUGAAGGCGAUGAGCUGUUACCCACCGGCGUUGGGUUUGCUGGUUCAGUUCAAGGCUGUUCACCAUAGAUUUAGGCUUUUAUUUUUAAUUCGUUUAAUUUUUUUCUUUUUUAAAUGAAUUAAAAUUUGUAUUUGGGUUUUUUAGUUUUUAGAAUUUGUAUUGGGCUUUAAUUUUUAUAGCUUGGAUCUUGUGUAUAAUGACUUUAUUUGGGGAUUGGAAAAUGAGUAUGAUAUUUAUAUUUUAAAAAUAUAUAAAAUUAAUAAGUUAUAUUAAUUCGAAUUAGAUUUUAAAAUCGAUUGACUUAAAAUAAUUGAAUUAGUCUCUCAAAUCGAUCUGAAAUUAAAAUUGAUUUAAUUGAAUUAAGUGAAUCAAAUUUAAUCGAUUAAUUCGAUUUUAACCAAGUUUUCAUCAUCUUUAAAUUAAGUGAAAGUAUAUAUGUAAAAAUGUAUACUAUAUUUCAAACACAUAAAAGAGUUGGUAUCACGAGUCAACUGGACGCUAACUUAAGUGAAAAUACCCUUACUUUACAAAGUAAAUUGUAUUAUUUUAAGGAUGUUUUUGUCUUUCUACAUCUUUUAUAUAGAAAAAUGUAUACAUAUAAUAAGACUUUAACUUGUGUAUUUAUAGUUUCAACAUUUAUACUUUACAAUUCAACCGAAGUCUCAUUUACUAUAUUAAUUAAUUAUAAAUAUAUUUAUUAAUAAUAUUAUGUUUUUCGUCUACGUGGUUGUGUCAUAAUCUAGUAAUAAUAGUAAAUAAAGUUUAUGCAAUUUAGGUUAAGUGAGUCACAGUACACCCAUCUCUUUACGCGCAUUUCGUUUUUAUCCCAAAGCUUUAAACUCAGCACGCAGUCCUAGUCGUUCGCCGCAAUACUUCGCUUUUCUUCAGUGGUUUCUGGCAUUGAUUUUGGUUUCAAUAUGUUCCCCUUAAUCUCCUGUCUACUAUUCUAGGAUUAUAUUCCAACAUCAUUGGUUUUCUCUAAUCUAAACUCAAAGUUUUGGUUGGCGUGCUUUCGGUCUCCCUCGCACACUGUUAACUACAACUCAAAUCUUAUAGUAGUCACUUUGAGCUUUCCAAAUCUAGUUUGACUAAACUUGGGUCAAUGAAGCAUUUCACCAACGCCAUUCACUGCUCGACCUUCUCAUGAAGCCAACGACUUGUUCCUUCUGUUCUCAUGAAUUGUAGGUUUUAUGUUUUCCCUAAUUUUUAUUCCUUGUUGGAUUGCAUUGUGUCACGGGUCAAGACUUUAGCUCCGAUCAUGUGUGACUUUAGAUUCGACUAAGUAAGCCCCAUUCAAUCCAACGGUUACAAUUGAUUACAAUAAAUGGUCAAUAUCACAUUCUAGAACUUUCCCACUUAACUCCAUUAAAUUCUAUACAUGAACGGAUAGUUCUAGAGCUUCCAAAAAUAUUCUACAUGGUUCUAAAGUCUUUCGGGGCACUUCGGGAAUCUUGUGGCUCAAUAGUCUCGUGUUUGCUCGAUUUCGGGCUUGAUAAGGCCUUGCUCACUCACGAAUCAUGACACUUGGAUUAGUUUCCUUGCUUUGUCUCUAUUUUUUUUUCAAUUGCAAACUAGGAAAUCAAGAAAACUACUAGGUUUGUGCUAGGGAAUUUGCUUCAAGGGUAGGCAUUUCAACCCUUAAGGUUCUUUUGGAAGGGUAAGGAUGAAGGUAAAAAUGGGCUAGACUGUGUUAACCAAAGGUUUCAAAGAAUUUGACAUUCAAGAUUGUUAUAUUGCUACCUCGGCUUGGGCAUGUGGUAACAUGAGAAGCGAUUGAGGAAACACACAUGGAUGGCCUUCCACCUUAUAUCGUCCAUAUGAUUUCUCAAUGACCAAUCACCUGCAUGCUUCGUACUACCCAGGGGAAAGAUUAUCUAUCCUUAACCACUCGAUUGGAACCUUCGUUAGGCCACCCGCUAUUAGCUAGUGCACUCUCCUCAAGAGGAGACCUUCGAGUGGUGUAAUUGGACAGGAGAACUCCUACCUAUAAAUACCACAAGAUACAACAUAAAAGGGAUCUUCUUCUUCCUUCUCAUAAACCCUAAAUAACAUACUAAGCCCUUAGUCUCCUCUUAUUCCCUCACUUUUCCAACUCUUCACUUGUUUAGAUUAACCAACCUCCUUCGCUCCACCACCUUCUCCACCAUAUUUCCUUGUUUGUUGAUAUAUUGUAUCAACAAAUAUAUUUAAAAUAAAUAAAAUAUAUAAAUAUAUGAAGUUUGUUAAGUUGAUUGGUUCAAUUAUGAAUAUUAAUAACCUUAAACUGACUAACUUAAUCAAAAGCAUGUGCCAACUAAUUUAAUAAAAUACACAAACCCGAUAUCGGUUUAACCGAAUGAACCAAUUAAAUCAAUAAUAUUCGAUUUUUGCUUACCCUAUGUAUCCAAAGAGAAAAGAAAAUCGAUUUUCAUCCAAUUUUUUUAUUCGCUCUGCCUACCAUGCGGUGAAGGUUGAACUAUAGAAAGAAAAAAAAAACCAUGCCCUUUCCAAUUUCAAAAUCGAAAAUUUUUCAAUCAAAGUACCAUAAAAGCUCAUGUAGUAGAAGUUAAAUUGUGUUUUGUCCCUUUUACUUAAAAAAUUAAAAAAUUAGUCUCUAUAUAUUAGGGCAAGGAACAAAUUGGUCCUUUUAGCUAAAAAGUUCAUCAAUUUUUAACAAUAGAAAUGGAUAAAAUUUUUAACAGAGGACUAAUUGACUCUUUAAUCUAAUAUAGAUUAAUUUGGUUCUACUACAGGGUCAUCCACGAUACAUUUACCAAAAAUUUUCUCAUAUCACAUAGGUUUCUUUUUGGUUUAUAUCACAAGUGUCCUUAUUCGAUAUGAGAUUAGUUUCGCUCGGGUUAAGAAUGGAUUCGAGUAAAGCCCUCUCAAUAAUGAGAAUUCUAAAAAUCGAACUUAACCUAAAUUACCGACGGAAAAAUCCACUCUUUCCAAGCACUUGUUAAUACGGUUUAACAAUAUAUUUAGACAAAAAUAAUAAUAAUUGAAAUAAUCUACAUUCUUCUUAUGAUACAUCUGUGAUUUCAUAUCCGUUUUGUAAGAACUGGUUGGCGUUUAUGGUGUUUGGUUGCUGUUUUUUGUUCCAUAGUUGUCUUCUUUCUUUGUAUAUGUACUGAAUUACGGCUUUUUCCUCUUCUCAAAUGCUCCUUUCAAUACUGUCAUCCCACCCUAUCUUUCAAAUUCUAUUGCCUUUCUUUCUCUAUCUUCUAUUAUAUAUAGUAACUUGUCUCUGUUUCCCAAAUCUUUGUUGGCCAUUGUAGCUUAAACAAAAGCUCAACACCCGAGGUUUUAAGAAAAAAGGUUUGUUUUCCUUUUCUGCCUUCUCUUUUUUCCUUUUUGUCAUUCGCUUCUGCAUUAACUUACUUGUCCUUCGAUCGUUACAUCAUUUCAACAGACUGUGAUAUAUCGCCCGCCCUUAUAAUAUUAUUACCACUCUCCUCUUCCGUUAUAAAAAGUAUCCAAAUUUUGCCAUCGUUUUCUUCAUCAAAAUGAGCCAUAGUUUCAUAUUUUCCCUUCUUCUUCUCUUGAUUUUAAGCUCAACCCAACUGAGAUACAAAGCUGAAGGUAACUUUUAAUCAUCUUUUUCAUUAGGCAAUUUUUUCUUGCUUGCUUACUUUUGUUUCUGCAGGUAGAUCAAUACCAAAAUCCGAUGAAGAAAAGGCGAGGUUAAGAGCACAGAUAGGAUCAAGGCCACCAAGGUGUGAGAGAAGGUGCAAUUCAUGCGACCAUUGUGAAGCCAUUCAAGUGCCUACCAAUCCUCAAAUCUCCCAUGUUGCUUAUGCAAGAGGUGAUGGAAGCUCUAACUACAAACCCAUGAGUUGGAAAUGCAAAUGUGGCAACUUCAUCUUCAACCCUUAGCUCAUAAAUACAUAUAUAUUUUAGGUUCUUAAAUACCCAUUUUUGAACCAUGUAAGUAUUUUUCUUUUUUUGCUUGUGAGAACAUAUUAGAACUCCAUUGUGAAAUUUCUUGAUUAUCUGAAUCUUUAAAAAGAAAAUGAAUCUAUAGUACUUGCUGUUGCUGUGGGGCGUGUAUUUGUACUGGUAUAUACGUACUAAGAUACGAUUUCUUGGGCAAAUCGUUAUGACGUUGGGAGGAAGGGGGGUCUAGAAAUUAGUGUAAAGUAUUUACUUAAAAAGUAGACAAUGAUUUUUGAGUUGGUAUAGUUUCACCAUACACGCCAUCGUGUCUGGUUUUGGUGUCAACUAUUGUCGAAAAAUGCGAUAGGAAUUGAAGUGAUCAGAGAGGGUAAAGGAAAAAGCUUAAACUGUUCUUUUAAUGGCAGAUUCCAGUUGUUUUUUCUUCUUAUUGCCUCUCUUCGUUGCUUACUUGGCGUGUAAGGAAUUACAUAGUAACGAUUCCGUUUUCCUUGAAAACUUACUUGAACAGUCAGCUCGCCUGGUUUCGUUAACAUGACAAAACAUACAUGGGUCUAAAACCAAAACAACUUUUAGGAUUUAAUCUAAUUGUCUGAAUUGAUUAUCAAGAUUGCUCCGUUGGUUUAUUUCAUUGUUUCAUAAUGAUUAAUUCGAUUUUUUAAGUAUUUAAAUUAGAUUAAGUGCAAUUUUCAGUAAAAUAAACCAAUCCAUUUAAUCAACUUUUCUAUUUUUUUUAAAUAUGUUUAUAAUAUAUAAUUUUUUUGGGUAAAUAAAGGUAGUAGACACUAUUAUAAAUAACAAUCCCUCUAAAUCAUCAUGUAUUAACUCCAAAACAUGAUCAGUUAGUUACAAGAAUUUGUAAAACCUUAGCUCUUAUCAAAAGAUUUAUUUAAGUAUCCGCAACCUUAUUACCUUCUCUGUUGACAUGUGGUAUCUUCACUUCCCAUUGGUUUUGAAUCAAUUGUUUAACAUCUCAAGCCACUGCAUACUAAGGUACAUCUUACGUAGAGUUCUGCAACAUUUGGAUAGCAUCUAAGUUGUCCAUCUCAAGAAUCACCUUCCUAAUACCCAUACUCCAAGUUUGUCGUAGACUAUUAUAAGCUUCCCACAGCUCAACUUCUACAAUUGAGCAUAUAUCAAUCUUUUGGACAAAUCUUAUCUUCCAUUAUCUCGUAUGAUCUCUAAUAAUAUAUAAUUUUUUAACUAAACUUUUAUUGCUAUUUUUAUAUCUCUUACAAUCAUAUUUGGAAGGAAAUAUCAAGAAGAAAAUCAGCUCAAUUUACUUAACCCGCCUAAGAAUGAAUGUUGAGCUUAGAUAAAUUAAGAACUAAAUUAAUCUUACAAAGUUAAUGAAUUAUGAAUACGAGUUGAAUAGUUUAAGGUAUGUUAGACAUUAUUUUUAGGAAUAUUUAUUUAUAUUUUAUAAGAUUUAACAAGUUUUUCUAUCAAUAUAUUACACGCGGAAAAUUCAUCAUCUAAACUCCUAAUGAUGUACAAUGACUUGUAAAUAAGGGUGUCAAAGUUUUCUUUAAGUAACGUGAAAUUUUGUUUUUACAAUUAAUCUACCUAUGAGAUUAGCUAGUUAAAUCGAUUUGUUUUCAUUUUUCAACUAGACAGAUAAAGGUCUUUGCCACCUUAAAAAUGAAAAUUUGUGAUUUAAUCCCUCUGUAAAUGAUAAAUUAUAAAAUUACAUUUUAAAUUUAAAAUGAAAAAAGAUCUAUUUAAUUCCUUUAAAAAUGAUGAAAUCUUAAGUUAAUACAUUAUAAAAAUUAUAAUUCGAUUCUAACACCUAAUAAGUUUCUAGAUAUGACCAUAUACCCCAACCAUUAAAUUGGUCUUUCACAAAUUCUCGUAGAUAAAAUAAUAUUGCAGAAACCAUAUUAACCAAUUAUUAUAAACACAAAUCAAGCAAAAGGAGUAGCUUAAGUUAAGACCCAUCAAAAACAACGUUUUGGAUCCAAUAGAGAGGAGUAAAAAUCCUCAACAAAAUAUACUAAAGAAAAAAUAAACAAUAGAGAGCUGUUUCUAUACAAGAGGAAAUGAAAAGACAGAAGAGAGAAAAAAAAAAAGGAACCAAUCAAUCAUGGUGAUGAUGAAGAAGAGCUGAGGAUAAGAGUUGAUGGGAUAUUUCAUUAUCAUAUUGUAUGAUUAUUUUUUCCAUCUAUGGGUUUUUUUUAAAAAAAAAACUUUGUUUUACGAAGUGAAAUUCGCUAUACUACAAAAUUCAUGCAUAGAUCUUUCACGUAGACAUGACUAAACAAAGGGUUUUCCUUGCAUAUAGGUACGAUUUUCUUUGUUUUUUUUGGGGGGGAGGGGGGGGGUUAAAAUCAAUCAUAUAAACAGUGGGAGCAAAGGAAAAUAUACUGAAUGACAGUAGCUAAUGGAUAGGCAGACAAGGUGCUGUUGCAGCAAACAAGUAAUGGGGUCAAUACCUAUAUGGGUGCUCUUUGUUGGCUCAAGUUUGGACAGUAAACAUAUACGUUUGUACAUGUAAAUUUUGGAAAUCUAUUAUUCUAUUUUUAGGUCAAUUGUAGCAUACAUCUAGAAUAUUGAAUUGGUUUUCAAUUAUAUUUGAGUUUUUUUUUUAAUUACAAGAGGAGGGCAAAGUCUUAACAGGAACACGUUUUAAACUCAGGCCAUGCUUGAGGUGAUGAACACUCUGAUCAUCAGGCCAAUACACGGGAUAAGUUUAGAUGUUGAAUGUUAAUUUGAAUUUAACAUGAAUUAUAGGGUUUAAAUUUUGAUUAAUGGGGAGUCAACAAUGGGUAUUAAUAAUUGAUCUCUUAUGUUGUUGUCAUCCAUAUAUUUUAAAUAUGCUUCACAUUAAAUCAAAACUAAUAUUUAAUGCCUGAGCUAAAUGGCUUACUUGAUGUGAUACUAAUAUUUUAAAGAUUCAAUUAAAACUUUUUAUAAUUUAUGAACUAAUUUAAAAUAUGGAUCGCUAAUGUCUUCAUUAGAUGGAGAUAGAUUGAAGAUUAGUUCUAAGCUUCAGGUUUAUAAUAGAGUUUAUGUUCUGGGAUAAUCUCUGAUGUUUAAGUCAAUGGAAGAAUGACGAUGAAAGUUUGAAAUAAUGUUGUUAAGUGUAUAUGUAGUGGUAAACAUGUUUCUUCUUUAUCCUUGAGCCCCUAGCUGUGUCUAUAGUCAUUGUUCUUGAAGACAAACGAAGAUUAUAUUUAACUCUUUGUUGAAGAUUAUAAUUAGUUGAAGUAUGCGUCCUUAAUUGGAUAAGAUUAUAUUUUUAACUCUUUGUUGGGUACAUGCAACUUAGUCAUCACAUCGCACAUAUAUAUGCACUUGAGAGAUAAGGGGCCUUCCAAGCUAUUGUUUGUGAGAGCUCGAGGCUUUAGCUCUCGACUAAUAUAACUAACGUUAUAAUUUGAGGAUCACCGAUGAAUUAAUCAUUUACUUUUUUCAAAUUUAUUAAAAUAUUAUUUUAUAAAAUAAUUAUUUCCAUCCAUUAUAUAUUGAUUUAAAUCAUGAGUUAAUGUCACCUUUGACCCAUAAACAAUAAUAAUCACACGAUUAAUUCUGAUAAUUACGUCUAUAAUUGUGAUGUAUAAACAUAAUGUGAUAUUCUUUAUGGCAAUUUAAAUUCCUAAGAUGAAGUGACAAAUGACAUAUUUCCAUAACAUAGAGAAAAAUACUGACGGUACAAUAUGCAAAUUCCAGUGGCAAACUUUGCAUCAAUUUAUUAUAUGACUAUAUUUUUGGUACAAAUAAAAUUUAUAUUACAUUUUAAAAAAUUCACAGAAAUCCAAUUCUCAAUAUACGAUAAUGGUUUUUUUUUUUUUAAACCUAGAUUAUUCACUACAUGUAGUAAGGCUUAAUUUUUUUACAGUAAAUAUUCUCCGAAUAAGUAAAUGAAUAAUCAUAAAAAUUGUGACGCUUUUAUUCCUUGUCGAUUAAAAUAAAUUUAUUUAAUUAAAAUGGUAAUAUAAAUUUAGAUUAAGGAAUAACUUACAAGGAUGAUCUUAAAAAUUAAGGUUUUUAGAUAUAAAUAAAUUUUGUCACAUCAUUAAAUUUUAAUGUUAUAUACACUCAUCUAUAGAACAAUUAUUUUAUGAACCAUUCUCAGUACCACAUGAUUCAUGGUCCAUUUCCAAUUAUUUAACAAUAUUUUAACAAAUUUUUCCAUGUCAUUGACACAUAAUUUUGGUAAUUUUUUACAUUGAAUCUAGAUUCCUGAACCCUGAUGUAAUAACCCGAUUUUAGGCCUAGUCGGAACAGUGGUUUCGGGACCACAAAUCCGACGAGAAAAAAAAUGUAAUGGCCUGAAUUUUCAGAGGUGUCGGAACGGUGAUUUGAGAUCACAAAAUUUGACAAAUGGGUAGAAAAUAUUGUUAAUUUAGUAAGUAUAAGUUAAAUGUGAAGUUAGGAAAAUUUUUGAAAUAGUGAAUAGUGCACUAGAAAUAAAUAUUAAAAUAAUUAGAAUCGAAAUGAGGUAUCAAGACCUCGGGGAUUUUAAACCGAGCCAUAAAUAUUUUUAUAAAUAUUUAUGGAGUGUCAAAAAGUUAGUAUUAAAGUUUCGUUAAGAAAUUUUAAAGUUCUGAUAAUUAAUUGAACAAAAAGGACUAAAUUGUAACAAAUGCAAAAUUUUGGGAAAUGAUUAAAUAGCUUAAAUGAUAAAAGGAAGAGGGCUUAAAAGGAAAAUAGACCCAAGGUCUAUUUGGGCUGGACGGCAAAGGCAUGAAAUCAGCAAGAAAGUAAGAAGAAUUAAGGGCAAAAUUGGAAUAUUGUAAAAUUUGCUUAAUAAAGUUAGGACCAAAGUGGAAUUAUCUAGAUUUCUCUUCAUUUUUCUGAAUUCUCAUCAGCUAAAACACCAUGGAAGGGCUUCUUCAAGCUGGUUCUUCAUAUUUUUAUUACAAGUAAGUUCAAUUCUUGACUAUUUCUUGAAAUUUUUGUAUUUUUAUGACUUUUACAACUAGGCCCACUUGUUAAAUUCAUUAGUUUUUGAUUUUAUGAAAGAAGUUGAAAGUUGAUAUGAAUAUGUGCUGGAAUUAUAUGAUGAUUUAUCAUGAAAUUAGAGCUUUAAAUUGUUCAUAUGCUGAUUUUAUUGAAAGAAUUGAAUAGAAAGUGAAUGUUUGGGACCUAAUAGUAAAAGAGUUUGAAUAUAGAGUUAUAUGUGGAAAUUCUGAAUUUAAGUAGUUGUGUAACAACUUAUAAUGUCUAGGUAAAGUAUUAAUUGAGAAAAUUAGAUUAAUUGAGGGGUUAAUUGAGAAAGGACCGAAUUGUAUAAACUGUGAAAUUUGGGGCAAAAUGGAAAUCAACAUUUUGCACUAAAGCAGUUUUGGACAGCAGCAGUAGUGUAACUUUGAAAAAUCACCAAAAAUUGUAGAGAUUGAAUUAAAGGAUGAAUAAAAUAUGAAACUAAAGCUUAUUGAGUCUAGUUUCUUAUAAAAGAAACUAUGUGAGCAAUAGAAUUGUAAAUCAUGAGAUAUAAUAGAUUUUGUGAGACAAGGUCAGAAUGAAUUCGGGUUCCCCUGUUCUGACUUUGGAAAAUCAUUAAAAAUUGUAAAAAAAUGAUUAUGAGUUAUAAUUUAUAUGGUUAGAAUCCUUAAUGAGUCUAUUUUUAUAAAAAACAAACAAAAACAUCAUCUGAGUUCUGUACAAUGAGAUAAUUAAUUUUUAGUGAUGAGUGGUCGGAACUGUCAGACAGCGAAACAGGGGAAAAUUUAAAGAAUAAACUGUACUAUUUGACUGAACCAAAAAUUCUGAAAAUUUUAUGGUAUGAAGAUAUGUGAGUCUAGUUUCAGGGAAAAUUAACGGAUCUUAAUUUGGAGCUCUGUAGCUCUGGAUAAAAAUAAUUUAGUGACUCUGACUCGGAUAAACAGUUUUGAAUAUACAUGUGAGUGAAUAGUGAAAUUAUAGCUAAUGUUGUUUAAGUGUGUUAUACACAUUAAGGAUGUGGAAUGGAGAGGAGGAGGAGGAAAAUUGGGAAAUAUUUGAAUGAUUUGUGUAUAAUUGGUCAUGGUUUAAGCUCAUGUGUGAAAAUAAAAGUUUCAUAGUAUGUGUGUAUGGUAUAUUCGGUAUAUGAUUUGGCAUGAAAUAAUGUCAUGAAUGGUUUAUGAAUUAACACAUGUUGGUAAGCCUGAUACAUGAAUAAAUGUUGUGCUCAUCCAUGCUUAUAAUGCUUAUGCUAUACGUGUAUUUGGCUAACAUAUUUGGUGUAUAUGCUUAGACUUUGGCCAAGUAGUGGCUAGAUUAUGCCACGUUAAAUUUAUAAGUUAUGCAUUGAAAUGGUUUAUCGUGUGGUUAGUUCCAAAAAGAGUCAUGUUUAAAUACACUAGCUUGCAACUAUGGUUGAAUGAUAUGCUUAUAUCUUGUGUGAUGUGCAUAGAAACAAGUGUGGAAAGAUAAUGAAAUAAUAAGUUCAUAUGGCUGAAAUUUAAUGAUUAAAUGUUAAUUUCAUGAAUUAUACAAUGUAUGAUGAAAUGUAUUCAUUUUUGAAAUGAGAGUAAAAUAAAAAUGCGAAAAUCGAAUAAAUGAUCAAAUUAAACGGAACGCCGGAUUUGAGUACUUCUGAUCAAGAGAUAAAGUGAUAGGUGGUAGCUUUAGCUACACUUAUCUGAUCAAGUGAAAAAGUGAUAAGUGCUACACUUAUCUGAUCAAGAGACAAAGUGAUAAGUGGUAGCUUUAGCUACACUUAUCUGAUCAAGUGAAAAAGUGAUAAGUGCUAUACUUAUCUGAUCAAGUGAAAAAGUGAUAAGUGCUAUACUUAUCUGAUCAAGUGACAAAGUGAUAAGUGUUAGCCUUAGCUACACUUAUCUGAUCAAGUGAGAAAGUGAUAAGUGGUAGCCUUAGUUACACUUAUCUGAUCAAGUGACAAAGUGAUAAGUGUUAGCCUUAGCUACACUUAUCUGAUCAAGUGACAAAGUGAUAAGUGGUAGUCUAGCUACACUUAUCUGAUCAGGGACAAGUGAUAAGUGAUCAUACGUAAUACCAUAGUUAUACUAUGGCAAAGUGAAAGUGAAGUACUCAAUUUUCCGUAACCGUUCCCUAAUUUGAUUAAGGAUGGUAAGUGACAAAUGGACCCAAAAGAAUUAAAGUAAAUGGAUAAGUGGUAGUGUAUUUAUAUCAGGACGAUGUUGUUAUUCAAGCUAAAGUGAUAUUUUCAUUGCAAAAUUGAGAAUUUCAUAAAUGUGUUAUUGAAUGGUAUAAUCAAUAAACAUUGAGUUAAAUGGUAAAUAUGUAUCAGUGUUGAACUUGAUGUCAUUGAAUUGUACGUGAGUUAAAUGGAAAUUGCUAGUGAUAUGAUCUAAAUUGUGAGCAUGAGAAAUUGCGAAUUGAAGGAAAUGGAAAUGAAGCAUUGAAUUGCAUGAGUAUGUAUCGGGUCUCGUAAGCCCUAAUUAUUAUGAUUAUAACAUUUUGAGGAUAUAUUGUGAAAAGUUAUAGGAGCAUGUUAAUUAUUUUGAAAGUUAAUUUAGAUGAAAUUUUAUAACUCGGUUAAAUACGUUUACAAGUGCAUGUGUUUUGGUAAUGUCUCGUAUCCUAUUCCGGUAUUGAAUACGGGUAAGGGGUGUUACACCUGAACUCAAAACCUAGAACCUCAAACCCUAAACUCGUAGCCCGUAACCUCAAACCUAAACCUUAAAUCUUGGGGUUUGGGGUUCAAGGUUUAAGGUUCAGGAUUCGAGUUCAAGGUAAAAUAAUUUUCAAAAUUAUGUGUCAAUGACAUGAAAAAAAAUUGCACAAAAAUUAUUACUUUUUAAAAAAAUGGUUGCACAAAAAUAAAAAAUGUUAACUUAUGGAAAAAAAUGAUUAAAUUUUGUAAAAAAAAUGUUUGUUUAUAAUUUAAAAAAUUAAAUAUUUUAAGUAAUUUAAUUAAAGUUAAAUUAAGUUGGAGAAGAUAUUGGAUAUAGAUAGUGUAUUAUAAUAUUUCGUUAUCUUUAAAAUUUAAUGACGUGGUACUAUUUUAUUGGUGCCUAAAAAUUAUGCUUUUUAGAAUAAUCCUAAUAUGAUUUAUUCCCAGGACAAUAUCAUAAACAAUAUAUGUAUGAUUAAUAAGUACAAUUACAGUUAUAACCCUAGUAUAAUUACAAUACGAAUUACAAAUAAUAUAUAACCAAUCAAUUUAAUGUAAAAUAUAAUAGACUAAAACCUAAAAUAUUAUCUAGAUUUAAACGAGAAUAAAUCUUAACAAAAUCUAGACAUAAUAAACUUAAAUCCAAAAUAAUCUAAAAAAAAAAUCCGUAUCUCAAUUUCUACCAUAGUAUAAAAACUUUAUUAGGUUUUAAAAAAUUAAAUCAAUUAAUUUGCUAUUACUUAAAUAAGUUGAUUAUAUUAGUGUAAUGUAGUUUAGAUUUUGUCCAAUUAAUUAUGAAAGAACAAAUGUAACUUAGGAAAAAUUGAAAUGUUUGAAAAUCUUUGAGAUAUAUUCUCGAUUGGUAAAGGUGGAGAGUUGAAUCAUAAAACUAUGAUUUUAUAUUCUACUCCAUGAGGCCUUUACAACAGUAUAUCAUAUGCUCAAAAUGGUUGAGUAAUGAAUGAGAAAUUGAUAUUCAAAGCAAGUUACUUGUGAAUAUUUGUUGAGGAAAAGGAAAGCUUGGAUUCCACAUUGGUUAAAUACCAAGUUAAUAUGUGUGUAUAUAUGAGAAUCCACUUGAAGGGUGAUUGAAUGACUAAACUUGAAAUUUUACUUUGCGCGUAAAAAGGGUGCAAAUCUAAACACAUCGGAGUUAGGAUACAUCUGCACGACGUAGGCGACACAAAAUGUCCGAACCGAUCAAGCUAAUAUUGAGUUUUCGAAUAUUUUAGUUCAACAUGAAAUUUAUUUUUCUCAGCAAAUAUAUACAAAAUAUGAUUUAAAAUGACAAAUAUCCUGAUUUUAUUUGAUUUGAUUCCAAUUAAAUUGAUUUAAUUUCUCCUUUAAUACAGAUUUUGAUAUUUAUUCCUCCAUAUUGAAUACCUAUAAAAAUCUAAGAAUUCUUUAGAAUUUUUUGGACACACUCUCUCUCACAUCGAGUUUAUUUUGCUAUCCAGAAUUCUUCUCUUUUCCUCUCCAUAUUUUCCAAUGUUUUCAGUUAUAGAAGAAGGCAAUGUUUGUUCGUUGAUCACCACCGAGGUAUUAUUGCUUUGAUCAUCGUGUUGUUGUAUCCUAGGAGAUAGUCGAUCAACGUUUCUCCAAGUAUCGUAGGAACUGCCAAAUCUGUCUUUAGGAAACUAUGUAAAACAAGCAUCAACAUUUUAUAAAACUCGAUUCUUUAUUCGAUUUCUGAUUUUUCAUGAUCAUAUUUAUUUAAUUUAUUUUUCAUAUUUGGUAUUUUAAAUAUAAAUAUUUAUUUAUAUUCAUAUUUGUUGACUAACUAUUUUGCUACAUUCAGUCACCACAACAUGUGAAUAUUUAUGUCUAAAUACAGUGAUGUUUUUAAUAAAAAGAGAUUGAGCAAAUCAACCAAUUGAUAUUUUAUUAAAACUUUUUUAUUCUUAUUGCAUGUUCUAUAAAGCCACAUUUUUCGCUUUUAGCUGUGAGUUGCAUCAGGUCUAUUUAUUGUGUGACGUGUUAAUUCACAUGUUAUUUAUCAGUUAAUAAUACUUAUAAUAAAUUUCUUAACUGAUUUACAGAAUAUAGACGAUUAGUUAUUAGGUUCGUUCGAAUAAUUACUUUAAAAAAAUAUGUCGUUAGUCCUCAUACUCUAUAGAAUUUAAAACUUAAUCCUGUUAAAAAUUUACUUAUUUUACUUUUUCAAUUAAAAAAUCUUAGUUCAAUCAUUUUUGUCGUUGAAAUCUAUUAGUAUAAUAUGUUUAUUUUUCGUCAAUCAUAUACCAUGUUGCUUAAAAGGCAACCUAAUCAAUAUAGCAAAUUAACAAUUUUUUUGGAAAAUAUUUACAAUUUUAAUGAUUGUCUAGGAAUUUUUAAAUAAAAAAUAUAUGAACUAAAACUUAAAUUUUAUCAAAGUAGAGGGACUACAUAUUUUAACCAAUAGAUAAUAUUCAUACCAAUUACACUAUAAGCAUAAGUGAUGAAAAUUUGAACAAAGCGAAACUAAUCCGAAAAGGAGUUAAGAUCCGCUCUUACUUUUUCAUUUAUUAAUAUUCAAUACAAUGAUCAUCGCCAUUUAAAUGUGUAAGACCCAUGUAGGACUCAUCUAUUAAAAAUGAAAAUCAACAUGUGAACAAUGAUCAAAUAUGCAUGGAUAUUAAUGGAUAAAAAAGUAAUAGAGUGGAGUCAAACCUUUCGAAUAGAACAAGACAAAACCGACACAUAAUGAAAAUUGGACCCACAUAUCGCAAUUAUAAAUUGUACGACUUGAACUUGGACCUUCAAGGUUUGGAACCUUAACGUUUGCUAACUAUGUUAAGGCCUCAUUGGUUAUAAUUGACAUUAUUUUUAUUUGCUCACUUUUAAAUAAUAGGUUUAUAAGUUUAAAAAAGCCCUUAAAAUGUAAAAAAAAAAUUAAUUAUUAAGCUCCUAUACUAAAUUCACACUCAAUUAAGCCCCUACCAUUAAUUAAAAUAAUCAAUUAAGCCCCUCCAUCAAAGAUUUUGUCAUUGACCACAUUGACCGUUAAAAUAAAUUGAUAGACCAAUCGGAUGGUAACACAUAAUAGCUUCUAGUUUAAUCUAAUAUUUUCUCAUAAAAAUAUUUAAAAAUUAGAAUAAAAAUUAUAAAAAUAAAAUUAUUAAUAUUAAAUUUAUAUAAACUUCUAAAAAUUAUAAAAAAAUAUAUAAAAAUAAUAAAUUAUAAUAAAAUAAUAAAAUAUUUUUUAAAAAUAUUUAAAAUUUUAUAAAAAUUUUAAAAAUCAUAAAAAUUUGAAUUGGACCGGAUCAGUUUAUUGGACAGAUUAGACUGAAAUCGACAAAGAUAUCGGUACAGAGAAAGUUAUUAAACUGAUUAACUUAGGAAUUGGACAAUUGAAACGAUUUUUUAUUUAUUUAAUGGAAUCGGAUGGAUCUAUCGAGCUGAUAAAUUAGUGAUUUGAUCGAUUCGGCUAUUAGUCCGAUUUUAAAAAUUUUAAUUAGAAUAUUUCAUUUUGAUAUAUAAUAAUGGUUAGAAAAAGAGAUUUUGAUACGAUAAUAAAAUUUAAAAACAUUAAAUUACCGAUCACCGACUUUAACAUAUGGGUGUUGACAUUUGACACGUGGCCUAAUUUGGGGGGAAAAAAGUGAAUAAUUUUUGUUUGAUGUUUCAAAUAAUGAGUUUAUAAUACUUACCACCUCCCGAUGUUGAGUUCUCUUCCAAAUUGACAGCGAUUGAUGCGGCCAACUCAGACAGAACGACACAGUUUAAUAUCUGUGUGCUUUUCACGCGCUUUUAAGAGUGUGAGCAAAAACAGAAAGAGUGAGAUUGGCAGAGAGAUGAUGAGUUUAAAUUGUCUAAUAUAUUUUUUGUUAUCUAACUAUAGUAUAAAUUCUAAAUUGGUCCUCACAUUUUAAAAUAUUCUAAUUGAAUCCUUAAACUACAAUAGCAUAUCAAUUAUGUCUAUGUCAACCUAGAAAUUAGCUUAAAUGUUAUAUUUAAAAUAAUAGAUCAAUUUAUAAAAAGACAUAUUUACAGUUUGAAUUCAUGUAUUUUAAAUCAAUUGACAUUUAUUGUCUAAAUAAACUGAAGGAUUUUGUUGAUAUAAUAUUAGUACUUUGAGUUGAUUGAGUCUUAGUUCAGUUGAUAUCGAUAUUAUUGUUAGUGUAGGAGGACAUGGGUUCGAGUAUGCUAAAGUGCAUUUAUCCUCUUAUUUAAGGGUUGGAUGGGAUUAUGAAUAGUUUUAGGUAUUGUAUAAAAAAUAUUAAUAUUUUGAGAUUUAUUUACAAUUGGAUCCAUGUAUCUUAAAUAUUCUUCACAUUAGAUCUAAACUAACAUUUAAUGUUUAAAUUAGCGAUUAAGUUGACAAAUUUUUUUUUUGGGGGUUGAGAUAAAAAGCUUUGAUUCAUACAAUAUAUACUUUGAUAUAGGAGUGCAGCGAGGGAGGCAUGCAAAGCCCUAGCCCUUCUAAAAUGAAAAUUUAUUGAUUUAGUCCCCUAAAAUUUACAAAAUCUUAAGUUAUAUUUUACCUCGUCCCAAAAUGCUAAUAUUUUGAUCUAGUUCUUUUGAAAACCAUAAAGAUAUAAGUCAACAUUAGAAUAAAUUUGUAUUUUAGCUCUUAUAAAAAAAUAUAACUUAAUCUCAGCCCCUAAAAAUAUAUAAGCUAAUAUUACGAUUGGGUCCACCUGUUUUAAAUAUUAUUCACAUCAAAUGUGAGCUAGUAUUUAGCACCUAAAUUGACAAUUAAGUUAACAUAAGGACUAAUUUAAAGUCUAAUCAAUCCUUUAAGGACUUUUGAUUAAUUAAUCAUUUUUAGCUAAAGAAUUUUUACACAAUUACCCAUGAUGGAUUCUCGAUCGAUCUAAAGUAAAGUUUUAAUCUUUAACUUAUAUAUUCAACUAAAUUAAUAAUUUUUAAUAUAAAAAAUACAAACUUUAAAUGUAAACAAAUUAUAUAGACAUUUAAUAAAAUGUAGACACUUUUUAAGAAGCACUCCAUAUGAACAUAUAUGUGGUGUUGAUAAAAAGGCACUGUUUCCACAUUUCCAGAUCCAAGUUCAUUCAGCCACCGACACUCAAAGUUUCCUAAUCUCGAAGUCAAGUUUUUUUCUGUCUUCUUUAAAAUUUUCCUGGAAACUUAACCAUUCUCGGGAUUUCCCAAGAAAAGUUAAAGUCUCUCCUUCGUUAGUUUUAGUUUCCUUUUGGGGGAUCAUUUGGAUUCUGGGUAAGUGUAUCAAUGCUUUCUGAAUUUAAUUUUCAAGUAUUAAAAAUGGGUUUGCUUUAAAAAUGCAAGCUGUUGAUCUGUUUCAGAUUAUAAUCCACUUUUCGAUCCUGCAUUUUAUUCUUUUUCCACUACCAUUACUGCAAAAAAAAAAGUUGCUGUUUUUUUUCUUUUCUGUUUUUGUGCUUUAUUAAUAGUGAUUUUUGUAUUUUUGUUAGCUUAAGGUCUAAUAUUUACUUCUUCUUUUUUUUUUUUGGAAUUUUCUCUUUGGAUUGGAUUAGUGUAAUUGUUGUUAUUAUUAGUAUGCUGGGAAGUGAAAAGUUGAAUUGAAUAUCAAUGAUUUUAAGUUUUGUUCAUAAUAAACUACUACUUGAAUAUUUAGUUCAUGGGUUGAUCUGGAUUUUUCAUUGCAUAAACACUGUCGAUUUGAUUUUUUGCAUUAAUUUCUUUCAUAUGAUUCAUUUUCGGCUUUAUUGCAAACUUCUAGUUGAUGAAAUGUUGUGGUAUUAUUAAGUUGAAUUAUAUGAAUAUGUCGGAUUUUGAAGAAUUUCGAUGUUUUUCUGAUGUUUUGCCGACAGGUUAAAUCGAAAGGAAGUCCGACAUGUUCCGGCUUUCACCUGGUAGGAACCAAAGAUCGAAAGGAUUGAAGGUGAAGCAUGCUCUACAAAUAUGUGUUCUUGUUGGUAUUUGCAUUUGGCUGCUUUACCAAGUUAAGCACUCCGGGGAGAAGAAAGCGAUUUAUGAGAAAUCUGGGAGCGAUGUUGUCAAGUUGGGGCGAAAAGACUUCCCUCGAUCGGAAGGGAUGACUGUUACAGAUGCACGGCAUAAGGAGGAAGAAGAGGAAGAAAGUAAGAAUGGAGAAGAAGAUAAUAAGCCUGAGGUAACCGAAGAUGAAGGAAAUGGGGAAGUCAGUGGGAUGCAUGAGCAUGAUAAUGAGAAACCCGAGGAGGGAACCGAGCAUGAAGAACGUAGGAACGACGAUAACGAAGAGACUAUGGAAAAUGAAAACAAAGGAAAUGAGGAGACUCGUGAAGGCGAUAAUGAAGAGAAAGAGAACAUCGAGGAUAGUCGAGAAAAGGAAAAUAAAGGGAUUGGGGAAGAGAGCAAUGAGACGGAGAAGAGUGAAGGUGAGAUAGAGAAUGCAGGUAGCUCGGAUGAUCGGGUUCGUGAUGGAAUUGAUGGGAAUAAUGAAGAAGCGAGAGAAGAACAUUACAAGGGGGAUGAUGCUUCAAGUGAAGUAGUCCAUGAUACCCAAAAUGAGACGAGUGGUUCAGAAAAUUCCAACGAGGCUGAGCAGUUGGAAAACAAAGAUAAGAAUGACCGGGAGGACGAAACAAAUAGCAGUGAAGCGGCCAAUGUCGGUCAUGAAGAGUCGAAUGUGCAAGAAAAUGGAACAGCUGAAAACAAUCAAGAAAGCAGUAAUGGGAGUAACGAAGCCGAGUCUAAAGAAGAUGCACAUCCCGAUACAGCUACGGAAUUGAAUGAGAAUCUGACAGAUACAACACACAGUUCAACCGAGAAUGUAAAUGGUAUGGUUCGGCUAUCUGAGAAAUCGGAUUCAGGUGGGAAUGACGAGCACUCGGAUUCAAAUACAACCCCUACUUCAACUGAGAAUGGGGAUGGAGCUAAUGGAGGUUCUACAAGUAAUUCGGAUUCCGGUGAAUCAAAUGGACAGACUGAAAAAUCGAAUGCCGGAUCAGACAGCAAUUCAAAUGCUGUUCAGAGUGAAGAAUCAAACAAUAAUUCUGGAGGAGAGGGGACACACACAAAUGAAAAUUCAAAUGCUGACCAGAACAGUGGAACAUCGUCGAACACUAAUGAUAAUGCUGGUGCAGGUCAGAAUGAGAAUGAUAGUAGCAAUUCGAACAAUGACGGGAAUGCGAAUGGGAAUGGUGGCAGCACAGGCAAUCAGAGCAACACCAAUGACAAUGUAAAUGCAAAUGAAGAUGUUACUCAAAAGGAAAACAACGAUUCAAGUUCAAAUGAAAAUGCUGCACAAAGCAACACCAGCAACAAUGAAAAUGCGGGUCAGGACGAGAAGAAUGCCACUCAGAGUAACACUGACAACAAUGAAAAUGUGGGUCAGAAUGAGAACAAUGCUGCUCAGAGCAACACUGAGAACAAUGAAAAUGCGGGUCAGAAUGAGAGCAAUGCUGCUCAGAGAAACACCGAGAACAAUGAAAAUGCAAGUCAGAACGAGAGCAAUGCAACUCAGAGCAACACUGAGAACAAUGAGAAUGCGGAUCAGAACGAGCACAAUGCUGCUCCAAGUAACACUGAGAACAAUGAGAAUGCGGGUCAGAACGAGAACAAUGCCACUCCAAGUAACACCGACAACAAUGAGAAUGCAGGUCAGAACGAGAACAAUGUGACUCAGAGCAACACUGACAACAGCAACAGCAACAACAACAACGAAAAUGCAAGUCAGAACGAGAACAAUGCUGCUCAGAGCAGUAACAACAAUGAAAAUGCAAGUCAGGAUGAGAACAAUGCAUCUCAGAGCUUCACCGACACCACCAACAACAAUGAAAAUGCAAGUCAGAACGAAAACAAUGCUUCUCAGAGCUACACCGACACCACCACCAAUGAGAGCAACGAUGCCAUUCAGACCAAUACCAACAGCAACGAAAACUCAAGUCCAAAUGAGAACAAUGCCGUUCAGUCCUCCAAUAACGAAAAUGCAGGUCAGAACGAGAACGAGAACAAUGCUACUCACAGCUUCAACGACAGCAACGGGAGCAGCAAUUACGACACAAAUACAGAUGGAAACACCCAGAAUAAUCCCGACACUUCUUCAACGAAUCAAGAAGUAAAAGAAGGUGAAACCGGUUUGGGAACUUUGCCAGGUACCACAACAAGUGAGGGAAAUAAAAGUGAGAAUGCAGCUGCAGAAUGAAAUUUAUAAUGGUUUGUGAUUUCAGUAUAUGAACUAAUUACUGUCACUAAAUUUUUGUUUUUCUUCUUUCCUGAUAUGGGAUCGGGAAACUGUAUGUUCCUGGUUACUUGUGCCUUUGUUGUCAUAUUAGUGCUGAAAAUUUUUAUAUUAUUUUGUACUUGUAGAUUUCUAGUUAUAAUAAUUGAAGUUCCCCAGUUUUCAUAUCUUUAUGAGGAUAUAUAUAAUAGGAAAGAAAAUCCUUUUUAGGUUUCUCUUCAAAUGUGUCUCUUGGUGCUUAAAUCAUCCUACAAAAAUAGAACUGCUUGACAUUUGGGAUAAUUACAUCAAAUAUUCUCAACUAGUCCUCAAAUUAUUAAUAUUGUAUUAAUCAGGUCUUUCUACUAGUUUAGCUAUCAAUGCACUUCGAAUUUGACGAAUUAUGGAUUCGAAUAUCCACAUGGAUCUUUUUUUUUUUUCGGAUUUGGAUAAUAUUCGGAUUUUAUGAUUAUUAUCUAAUAGGAAUUUGAACUGGAUGUGAAUAGAUGUCUCGGAUAUUCAAUUAUCCAAAUCCGAUUACUUGUUUGGGUAAUGGAUGUAAAUUUAAAUUCAAACACCCAAACCUAGUGGUACAAAAUACUUAUAGUUUUGAUUUUAUAUAUCUAAAAAGAAUUUUACUGUAUUCGAAUUCGGAUUUUUGCAGAUGUGAAAAUUCGAAAAAUGGUUAGAAAUUUUGAAUUUUUUUUUUCAAAUUUGAAAAAUGACAAUUUCAAUAAAUUUUAGGACAGUUAUUAUUGCUUUUAAAAAAAGUCAAAUAUAAGUUGUUUAUGCAAUAGGUACACUCUAGACAUAUAGUUUAAGUAGUAUUAAAUGUUCAAGCUAGACAAAAUGACCUAAUCGAUACAAUACAAAUACCUUUAAAAGGAUCCAAUUAAAACCUUUUAAAUUUUGAGGACCAAUGAUGGUAUUAGCCCUUUUUUUCUUUCAAAAUUCCAUGAAUUUAUUGCUUAAAUUGCAAGGACCAAUGGGGUUGGUGAAGCCUGAUGGUGCCUCAAUACCUUAUUAAUGGACAUCCCCACUCCUCCCAUGGUACUUGCUAUUUAUUUUGUUAGGUAAUUCAUAAUUAGUUGCUUUUGUGUUGCUUCAACAUGCAUAUUAUCAUUAAGAAAGACCUGUGGGGAUCUAUUUUUAUGAAAUGAAUUAGAUAAAGUACUAAUUGGUACAAUCAAUUAUAGCUGCAAUGUUUUCAUAUGGAAUUUUCUUUUCUUCCAAAGGACCUAAUCAUGAACAAUCAUUUUCAUUUUAAAAAAUACAACAUGGUGCACUCAUAUGGUAAAAAAAAAAAAUUUCUUGGAUAAUAUAAUUUUUGGCCCCUGAAUUUAGCAACUAGGUCCACUUUGGUAUUUGAACUUGACAACUAGAUCCAUUUUGGUCUUUGAACUUAGAUUCUAUCAAGAUUUAAUGAUGUGACCAGUAUUACUGAAACAUGAUUAGAUUAGACUUGGAAUUGAUCGAUAUAAUGGUCCGAACAAAGGGUUAAAUCGAUCGACUCGAAAAUAGCUUGAAACUGGUAAAAAUUGAAAAUCGAAACAAAAAUCAAUAGUUGAAUAAGUUGAAUUGGAUUAAUAUUUUUUAUGAUUUUUUAAUUAUUAUUUGUCUGGCAGUCGAAUUGGUUGAAUCGGGAAUCGAUGGUCUAGCCUGUUCAACCACCGGACCAAUUAUUAAAAUAUUGAAUGUGACACUUUGAGAUUGUAUGACAUCACCACAUAAAAAUUUAUAUUAAUUUUUAAAUUUUCAAGUGAUGAUAUUGUGCUUAGUUGUAAAGUUCAAGUCUCAAAGUGGACAAAAAAUAUAGGUACCAAAAUAAAUAUUGUUGCCAAGUUCAGGGGUCAAAAUUAUAUUAUCCAUAUUUCUUUCAUUUGGUUGGUAAAAGGAUGGGUUGUCAUCUCAUCAAGAGCAUCUUUCGAAAAGAGAGAAAUAUUUUAAGGUUAAUAUACUAUUUGGUACCUAUAUUUAGUUUGAAUGUUUAAUUUUGUACUUGAGCUUUUAUGUCCCAAUUUGAUAUUUGAGUUUAACUUAAAUGUUGAAUUUAGAACCUAGGUCAUUUCAAA